AGACGGUAAACAGUUCACCGUCUUAUCUGUGUUUUAUGUCUCCAGGACUUGGCCAAAGUUGGGGGGUGUUGUCCUGACCGAAGUUGAGGGGUGUGUACCGUCUUAAGUAAGACGGUGAACUGUUUACCGUCUUAUCGAGGGCACAGCAGUUCCAAAGGGGGUUGUAUUCGCUCUAAAGACGGUGAUGUAUUCGCUCUAAAGACGGUGAAUAGUUCACCGUCUCAUGAAGGCGGUGAACCAUCUUCCGUCUUCAUGAGAAAUGCGCAUAGACGGUGGACGAUUCAUCGUCUUUACGAAAAAAAUCCGACCUGGCGCCGACGUGGCGAAAGGAGGGUUAGUUUUACAAAUAAAAUUUUCAGAAGAUUAUUUUGCCAAUUAUAAAAUUUUAAAGGGUUAUUUUCGAAAAAAGUCCGUCCAU
This 418-nucleotide long non-coding RNA is filed under the name Ananas comosus (pineapple). Its description in RNAcentral is "long non-coding RNA (ACOM_LNC006737)". The record is from RNAcentral. Lineage: Eukaryota; Viridiplantae; Streptophyta; Magnoliopsida; Poales; Bromeliaceae.